CAAACGCUGCCUGUAUGACACACAGGAUGCCAACUACAAAAAUAGGAGGAGCAGGCAGCAGGCCUGGGAGGAUAUUGGCAAAAGCAUCUGGCCAGAUUGGAGCAGUUUAACCAAGACAGUGAAACAGGGAAAAGUCAACACUAUCAAAGGCAAAUGGAAAAGCCUGAAAGACGCCUUUAUCCGCCAUCGCCGCAAACAAAAGGAGCAGAGGAGCGGAUCGUCCCCAGGCGCACGCUCCAGUUAUGUGCAUGCAGCCCAAAUGUCAUUUUUGAUACCGUGCACCGAAAUGCGGAGCACCGAUAGUAGCUGGGAACACAGCCAGGCGCAAGCUGAUGAGGAAGAGGACGAGGGCACAAUCAUCGACAGUGAGCCCGGACCAUCU
This is a long non-coding RNA of Bufo gargarizans (Asiatic toad), 382 nucleotides long. RefSeq lists it as uncharacterized. The record is from RefSeq and is a predicted model, not a curated record. The transcript is spliced from 3 exons. Lineage: Eukaryota; Metazoa; Chordata; Amphibia; Anura; Bufonidae.